UGUAGUUACUGCUCCCUGCCUCUUCCCUCGUUCUUUCAGAGCCGCAAAGAUGGUGAACCACAGGCUAAAGCGCGUGCAGAGCAAGCGGUACUCCACGCCCAGGAGGCCCUACGAGAAGUCCCGCCUCGACCAGGAGCUGAAGCUUCUGGGAGAGUAUGGGCUACGUAACAAGAGGGAAUUAUGGAUUGUCAAGAUGCUCUUGGCCAAGAUCCGAAAGGCUGCCCGAGAGCUCCUAACCCUUGAUGAGAAGGACCCAAGAAGGCUUUUCCAAGGUAAUGCUCUGCUUCGUCGCUUGGUUCGUACUGGUGUCCUGGAGGAAUCCCGCAUGAAGCUUGAUUACGUGUUGGGUCUGAAGAAUGAGGACUUCUUGGAACGUCGCCUGCAGACACAGGUCUUCAAGCUUGGACUGGCUAAGUCCAUCCAUCACGCACGUGUCCUCAUCAAGCAGGGCCACAUCAGGUGAGACCAUAUGUGACUUCAUUGGUCAACCCUCCCUCAGUAUACAUUUGGUAUAUUCAUGUUCAGUUAUUUCUAGAGGCCACUUGACUAGGUAUAUCCUAGCAACGUCUCAUUUAAUUGCGAUGAUACUACGGCCCACAUUAACCUUAGUGAAGCUUGAGCUUCCUGUGAUGGGUGCGCAAGCAGGUCGUGAAUGUACCCUCAUUCAUUGUACGUCUAGACUCCCAGAAGCACAUUGACUUCUCCCUCAAGAGUCCAUUCGGUGGUGGACGCCCAGGCCGUGUCAAGAGGAAGAACCUCCGUAAGGGAAGCGGAAAGGCUGAUGAGGGCGAUGGUGAAUCUGAUUAGAUCCGUGGUUUCCUGUUGCAAUAAAGGAAGGGAACUA
RNA transcript from Penaeus vannamei (Pacific white shrimp), 844 nucleotides. It is a transcript of the gene named ribosomal protein S9, with no coding region annotated. Lineage: Eukaryota; Metazoa; Arthropoda; Malacostraca; Decapoda; Penaeidae. The record is from RefSeq and is a predicted model, not a curated record.